GACGAACGCUGGCGGCGUGCUUAACACAUGCAAGUCGAGCGGUAAGGCCCUUUCGGGGGUACACGAGCGGCGAACGGGUGAGUAACACGUGGGUGACCUGCCCUCAGCUCUGGGAUAAGCCCUGGGAAACCGGGUCUAAUACCGGAUAUGACUCCAUGACGCAUGUUGUGGGGUGGAAAGCCUUGUGCGGCUGAGGAUGGGCCCGCGGCCUAUCAGCUUGUUGGUGGGGUGAUGGCCUACCAAGGCGACGACGGGUAGCCGGCCUGAGAGGGCGACCGGCCACACUGGGACUGAGACACGGCCAGACUCCUACGGGAGGCAGCAGUGGGGAAUCUUGCGCAAUGGGCGAAAGCCUGACGCAGCGACGCCGCGU
RNAcentral lists this ribosomal RNA (373 nucleotides) under uncultured bacterium. RNAcentral's name for it is "bacterial SSU rRNA". It matches the Rfam family "Bacterial small subunit ribosomal RNA", at positions 28 to 402 of the family's 1533-position model. The record is from RNAcentral.